This 839-nucleotide ribosomal RNA is filed under the name uncultured bacterium. RNAcentral describes it as "bacterial SSU rRNA". It matches the Rfam family "Bacterial small subunit ribosomal RNA", at positions 8 to 845 of the family's 1533-position model. The record is from RNAcentral.
AGAGUUUGAUCCUGGCUCAGGAUGAACGCUGGCGGCGUGCUUAACACAUGCAAGUCGAGCGAAGCGCUUUACUUGGAUUUCUUCGGAAUGACGAGUAUUGUGACUGAGCGGCGGACGGGUGAGUAACGCGUGGGUAACCUGCCUCAUACAGGGGGAUAACAGUUAGAAAUGACUGCUAAUACCGCAUAAGACCACAGCACCGCAUGGUGCAGAGGUAAAAACUCCGGUGGUAUGAGAUGGACCCGCGUCUGAUUAGCUGGUUGGUGGGGUAACGGCCUACCAAGGCGACGAUCAGUAGCCGGCCUGAGAGGGCGACCGGCCACAUUGGGACUGAGACACGGCCCAAACUCCUACGGGAGGCAGCAGUGGGGAAUAUUGCACAAUGGGGGAAACCCUGAUGCAGCGACGCCGCGUGAAGGAAGAAGUAUUUCGGUAUGUAAACUUCUAUCAGCAGGGAAGAAAAUGACGGUACCUGACUAAGAAGCCCCGGCUAACUACGUGCCAGCAGCCGCGGUAAUACGUAGGGGGCAAGCGUUAUCCGGAUUUACUGGGUGUAAAGGGAGCGUAGACGGAGAGGCAAGUCUGAUGUGAAAACCCGGGGCUCAACCCCGGGACUGCAUUGGAAACUGUUUUUCUAGAGUGUCGGAGAGGUAAGCGGAAUUCCUAGUGUAGCGGUGAAAUGCGUAGAUAUUAGGAGGAACACCAGUGGCGAAGGCGGCUUACUGGACGAUGACUGACGUUGAGGCUCGAAAGCGUGGGGAGCAAACAGGAUUAGAUACCCUGGUAGUCCACGCCGUAAACGAUGACUACUAGGUGUCGGGUGGCAAAGCCAUUCGGUG